RNAcentral lists this ribosomal RNA (733 nucleotides) under uncultured bacterium. RNAcentral's name for it is "bacterial SSU rRNA". It matches the Rfam family "Bacterial small subunit ribosomal RNA", at positions 794 to 1529 of the family's 1533-position model. The record is from RNAcentral.
UCCACACUGUAAACGAUGGAUACUAGGUGUAGGAUGUAUUAAGCAUUCUGUGCCGCCGCUAACGCAUUAAGUAUCCCACCUGGGGAGUACGACCGCAAGGUUGAGACUCAAAGGAAUUGACGGGGGCCCGCACAAGCAGUGGAGUAUGUGGUUUAAUUCGAAGCAACGCGAAGAACCUUACCAGGGCUUGACAUAUACCGGAAUAACCUAGAGAUAGGUUAGUCCUUCGGGACUGGUAUACAGGUGGUGCAUGGUUGUCGUCAGCUCGUGUCGUGAGAUGUUGGGUUAAGUCCCGCAACGAGCGUAACCCCUAUCGUUAGUUGCUAGCAGGUAAUGCUGAGAACUCUAGCGAGACUGCCGGUGAUAAAUCGGAGGAAGGUGGGGAUGACGUCAAAUCAUCAUGCCCUUUAUGUCCUGGGCUACACACGUACUACAAUGGCCGUAACAGAGGGAAGCAAGAUAGUGAUAUGGAGCAAAACCCUAAAAGCGGUCUCAGUUCGGAUUGAAGGCUGAAAUUCGCCUUCAUGAAGCUGGAAUUGCUAGUAAUGGCAGGUCAGCAUACUGCCGUGAAUACGUUCCCGGGCCUUGUACACACCGCCCGUCACACCAUGAGAGUUGGAAAUACCCGAAGCCUGUGAGCUAACUUUUAGAGGCAGCAGUCGAAGGUAGAGCCAAUGAUUGGGGUGAAGUCGUAACAAGGUAGCCGUAUCGGAAGGUGCGGUUGGAUCACCUC